This 253-nucleotide ribosomal RNA is filed under the name uncultured bacterium. Its description in RNAcentral is "partial 16S ribosomal RNA". It matches the Rfam family "Bacterial small subunit ribosomal RNA", at positions 524 to 776 of the family's 1533-position model. The record is from RNAcentral.
UACAGAGGUCUCAAGCGUUGUUCGGAUUCAUUGGGCGUAAAGGGUGCGUAGGCGGCGCGGUAAGUCGGGUGUGAAAUCUCGGGGCUUAACUCCGAAACUGCAUUCGAUACUGCCGUGCUUGAGGACUGGAGAGGAGACUGGAAUUUACGGUGUAGCGGUGAAAUGCGUAGAUAUCGUAAGGAAGACCAGUGGCGAAGGCGGGUCUCUGGACAGUUCCUGACGCUGAGGCACGAAGGCCAGGGGGGCAAACGGG